This 253-nucleotide ribosomal RNA is filed under the name uncultured bacterium. RNAcentral's name for it is "partial 16S ribosomal RNA". It matches the Rfam family "Bacterial small subunit ribosomal RNA", at positions 524 to 776 of the family's 1533-position model. The record is from RNAcentral.
UACGGGGGGGGCAAGCGUUGUUCGGAUUUACUGGGCGUAAAGGGUUCGUAGGUGGCCAACUAAGUCGGAGGUGAAAUCCCUCAGCUUAACUGGGGAACUGCGUCCGAUACUGGAUGGCUUGAGUUUGGGAGAGGGAUGCGGAAUUCCAGGUGUAGCGGUGAAAUGCGUAGAUAUCUGGAGGAACACCGGUGGCGAAGGCGGCAUCCUGGACCAACACUGACACUGAGGAGCGAAAGCCAGGGGAGCAAACGGG